RNAcentral lists this ribosomal RNA (253 nucleotides) under uncultured bacterium. RNAcentral describes it as "partial 16S ribosomal RNA". It matches the Rfam family "Bacterial small subunit ribosomal RNA", at positions 524 to 776 of the family's 1533-position model. The record is from RNAcentral.
UACGAAGGGGGCUAGCGUUGUUCGGAUUUACUGGGCGUAAAGCGCGUGUAGGCGGGUCGUUAAGUUGGAGGUGAAAUCCCGAGGCUCAACCUCGGAACUGCCUUCAAAACUGGCGACCUGGAGCGUGAUAGAGGCGAGUGGAAUUGCGAGUGUAGAGGUGAAAUUCGUAGAUAUUCGCAGGAACACCAGUGGCGAAGGCGACUCGCUGGAUCAUUGCUGACGCUGAGACGCGAAAGCGUGGGGAGCAAACAGG